Molecule: ribosomal RNA, 253 nt
Filed under: uncultured bacterium
Lineage: Bacteria
Description: partial 16S ribosomal RNA
Rfam family: Bacterial small subunit ribosomal RNA
Source: RNAcentral
UACAGAGGGGGCAAGCGUUGUUCGGAAUUACUGGGCGUAAAGGGCGCGUAGGCGGCCUUCUAAGUCGAACGUGAAAUCCCCGGGCUCAACCCGGGAACUGCGUCCGAUACUGGAAGGCUUGAAUCCGGGAGAGGGAUGCGGAAUUCCAGGUGUAGCGGUGAAAUGCGUAGAUAUCGGGAGGAACACCGGUGGCGAAGGCGGGUCUCUGGGCAGUAACUGACGCUGAGGAGCGAAAGCGUGGGGAGCGAACAGG